Molecule: ribosomal RNA, 301 nt
Filed under: uncultured bacterium
Lineage: Bacteria
Description: partial 16S ribosomal RNA
Rfam family: Bacterial small subunit ribosomal RNA
Source: RNAcentral
CAGCAGCCGCGGUAAUACGAAGGGUGCAAGCGUUACUCGGAAUUACUGGGCGUAAAGCGUGCGUAGGUGGUGGUUUAAGUCCGUUGUGAAAGCCCUGGGGUCAACCUGGGAAUUGCAGUGGAUACUGGGUCACUAGAGUGUGGUAGAGGAUAGUGGAAUUUCCGGUGUAGCAGUGAAAUGCGUAGAGAUCGGAAGGAACAUCUGUGGCGAAGGCGGCCCCCUGGACAAAGACUGACGCUCAGGUGCGAAAGCGUGGGGAGCAAACAGGAUUAGAUACCCGGGUAGUCCCUGUCUCUUAUAC